CCCUAAUACUCAGAGCCUCUACUCCAAGUAACAGAAAUUCUGACUUUUCUGAUCGGUAUAACCGAUCAACGAACCGAGUUACCCUAGGGAAACAGCGCAAUCCCCUCUCAGAGCCCAUAUCGACGAGGGGGUUUACGACCUCGAUGUUGGAUCAGGACAUCCUAAUGGUGCAGCCGCUAUUAAGGG
RNAcentral lists this ribosomal RNA (186 nucleotides) under Melanogrammus aeglefinus (haddock). RNAcentral describes it as "partial 16S ribosomal RNA". It matches the Rfam family "Bacterial large subunit ribosomal RNA", at positions 2367 to 2571 of the family's 2925-position model. Lineage: Eukaryota; Metazoa; Chordata; Actinopteri; Gadiformes; Gadidae. The record is from RNAcentral.